This 887-nucleotide long non-coding RNA is filed under the name Capsicum annuum. RNAcentral describes it as "long non-coding RNA (CANN_LNC011761)". Lineage: Eukaryota; Viridiplantae; Streptophyta; Magnoliopsida; Solanales; Solanaceae. The record is from RNAcentral.
GGUUGAAUACAUAACUUUUCCAUAAAAAAGGAUCGUAACUUUUUUUGUUAAAAAAAAUUGAAAGAUGCCAAUUGAAGCUGACUUUUCUAAUUAGUCUACUUUUUGGUUUAUGACUCUACUUCUAUUUUUUUUUUUUAAAGAAAUAAAAAUUUUGUUACAAUUUUUUUGCAUCGGCUUAUGAAUAAUAGUUGGUUCUCCAUGCCGUAGCUGGUUCACCAUGAGAGCUAAGUGGAAGAAAAGGCGUUAUGAAGAGGAAAUGUUGAAAAUUGAGGCAGAGAUCCAAGUAGAACACUAGGCAAGAUCAGGUAGAAUAAUAUUUGAUAGUUUUCAGCAUUAUUAGCUUUUGAUAUAAUCUUAUAUUAUGUAGUUAUACACUUGUAUAUACUCUUGCACUAAUCAAUUAUAUUAGUUUUGAGAAGUCAAGAUCAUAUGUAAUAGGUGGUCUGAGAAUUGAGUUUGCUUCUUUCUUAGCUAUUAAAUUACCUGCUACUCAAACUUUAGAGUCUCGACUGUUGUAGGCAGGGUGUUUUUCCAUCUCCUCUGUUGAUUUUAUUUUUGUGGCAUUUGGUUGAGUCGUAACUCUUGAAGGUGAUUAUAAUAUAAGAUUUUUGUAAUUUGCAUGUUUCCUUUGUGUAUAAGUGGAUAAUAGUGGAUGUAAAUUGAGUUGAUUUGUAAACUAGAAGGCCUGGCACUGCUAGUAUACAAGGUUAGAAUCUAAUUGGUGGAAGAAACAUUGUAUUAAUGUGUAGAAAAUUAUGUGAAAUAUAACUCAUACAUUCAUAUAAAGACUAAAAAGCUGAAUGUUGUUAAAGUCCAAGUAUCAUGUAGUUUAGUCAGGAAAAAUACAUAUUGUCUACUAAAUUUGUCUCCAAAAACCUCGAAAGCAC